AGUCUUGCAAUUGGAUUGAGAACAAUGUACAACUCUUAUCGAUAAGCCAUUGGAGGGCAAGUCUGGUGCCAGCAGCCGCGGUAAUUCCAGCUCCAAUAGCGUAUAUUAACGUUGUUGCAGUUAAAAAGCUCGUAGUUGAAGUGUGGGUGAUCGCUGUUGUGAGACUUCGGUCUCUCGACAGUAAGUCACCCCCUUCCAGUAUCCAGUAGUGGGUAUUCAGUUACUUACUACUGUGUGUUGGUCCUUUACUGUGAGAAAAUUAGAGUGUUCAAAGCAGGCGUUUGCUUGAAUAGAUUAGCAUGGAAUAAUAAUUGAAGGCUUUCGUGUUCGAUUUGAUUGGUUUGUUCAUGGAAGCAAGGUUAAAAGGAACAGUUGGGG
RNAcentral lists this ribosomal RNA (378 nucleotides) under Blastocystis sp. A2. Its description in RNAcentral is "SSU rRNA". It matches the Rfam family "Eukaryotic small subunit ribosomal RNA", at positions 499 to 887 of the family's 1831-position model. Lineage: Eukaryota; Bigyra; Opalinata; Blastocystidae. The record is from RNAcentral.